Long non-coding RNA from Panicum hallii, 1828 nucleotides. RefSeq lists it as uncharacterized. Lineage: Eukaryota; Viridiplantae; Streptophyta; Magnoliopsida; Poales; Poaceae. The transcript has 5 exons. The record is from RefSeq and is a predicted model, not a curated record.
UCUGCAUCCAGUGGCGCUCCUCGUCGCCGUCGGCGGCCUGGUGGUUAUGUUGUUCGCUUCUCCGUGCGGAUGGCCGGCAGCCCCAGCUCAGCUACGGCUCGGCCUCAGCCCGUGGAGCAGUGGCCCCCUGCUCUCCGUGUCUGCUCGCCGGCAGAGGUGACGGCCUGGGGGACGCAUGCUGCGACGGCGAGUCACACAGUUACACCCUUGGUCUGUGAUGCCCUGCAACCUACCCAAGGCCAUCAUGUCCUCCUCUUCAAGCGCGGGCAUGCCACCGUGACAGCGUGAGUCAAUGCAGUUAACGCAACAGGCGAACCCACAGAGCCUCCUGAGGUGUGUGCAAAAUUUCGGAACCCAAUCAGUUCUAUAAUCAGAACACAAAGAUGGUUUUGGAUCCAAUGAUUUCCGAUUGGCUAAUGGUUCCUGAGGGGAAGAAAGAAGCGAUGUGGCAAUUGUUGAGCAAAAUUUUUAUUUUGCUAAGAGGAACUAAAGACAAAGUAAAGCAUAAUGCUAGGAAGAUGCUGGGUGAAAGUUUCCACCGGUGGAAGAGUAAUCUGAAUACCAAGUAUGUCCAGCAGGGCCAAACGCCAUUUGCAGAUUACGGGGACAUCACACAAGCAUAAUGAGAAGAGUUUGUUUAGCAAAAGACCUCUGAGGAAGCUCUAGCCCUGAGCCAAAUAAAUAAAGAUCUAGCACUGAGCAACAUAUAUAAAGUCCGUCUUGGCCCGGGUGGAUACCAAAGGAAGGUCAAUCGGUGGCGGCAUGAAAGAGAGGAUGUAAUAGCCGCCGAGCAACCCGACCUGUUUGAAGGCUUUGACGAACGUGGCUAUUUCUAGCUUCAAGCAAGUAUACCUAAGAUACUGGAUGUCAAGAUUAAGUUUGACCAACCCGGGAUCGAAGCGGUAGCACAAAAAAUGUACGAACUUACCGAGCUUCAAAAGCAAGAAAAGUUCAAAGCCAAGAGGGACAAGGAUGUCCUUAGUACAGCCAUUGGGUCCAAAGAGCAUGGAGGCCACGCCAGAGGCGUGUCCUCUAAGAUCGCGUUCCUUGACCCUGAAGCUAUUUGCAAGUCCAGGCAUCUCGGACUAAUGUGGUGGAAGGACGACCAUGAUGUGCUAAGCAAGUGUGAAACACGAAGGAAAAACGAGCAAAACGAAUAAAAGAACACCAAAGGAUGAUAAAGAGGGUUGGGGUUUAUAUAUCACUUCAGAUGCAACAAUAGCAAGACAGGGAUGUCAUAUGGGCACCAUACAACGUUAAAAAUCACUAGAUUCUUUUAUGCUACAGCCAAAGUUUGCAAACAUGCUCGUAUUGGACUCUGCUGAUUGGGAUAAGAGCAGAUACAAAGAAUUCAUUUCCAUCCUCAACAUGUCUUACAUGCACCGCAUUUACAAAAGAGGAAUUUAUCCCCUGACAUAAAAGAAGAAAUGAGAAUACGCACAAACUUCUCAUGCCACAAGCAACCCGCAGGUUCCAUGUACCGUGGAUACUACAUGUGCAAGCACACGAGGGAGCUCGGUCUGAUCCCGAAUGUCCGAGAAGACACGAGGAGCAACUCCAUGAGCAACAACUUCUCAAUGUAGUCACCGAUUUAUGUCAUUUCAUUUUGCAUGAAGUGGUCUAUGUAAGGGAGCAUUUUGUUCACCCUGAAUAUGAAUUGGCAACUGACAAAAUAUAUGAAGGUCUUCAUCAGUAGGACGCUCUGCACCUCCGUGCCAGCUCUAGUAGCGUUAGUCGAGAGGGGGGGGAAUAGGAUAAAAAUGUGUAUUCUAUGCGCAUUUUGAUGAUGUACUCUAAUGAUGCACUGUAAUAAUAUACUUCUAUAUGA